AGUGAACGCUGGCGGUAGGCCUAACACAUGCAAGUCGAACGGCAGCACAGGAGAGCUUGCUCUCUGGGUGGCGAGUGGCGGACGGGUGAGGAAUACAUCGGAAUCUAGUCUGUCGUGGGGGAGAACGUAGGGAAACUUACGCUAAUACCGCAUACGACCUACGGGUGAAAGCAGGGGACCUUCGGGCCUUGCGCGAUUGAAUGAGCCGAUGUCGGAUUAGCUAGUUGGCGGGGUAAAGGCCCAACAAGGCGACGAUCCGUAGCUGGUCUGAGAGGAUGAUCAGCCACACUGGAACUGAGACACGGUCCAGACCCCUACGGGAGGCAGCAGUGGGGAAUAUUGGACAAUGGGCGCAAGCCUGAUCCAGCCAUACCGCGUGGGUGAAGAAGGCCUUCGGGUUGUAAAGCCCUUUUGUUGGGAAAGAAAUCCAGCUGGCUAAUACCCGGUUGGGAUGACGGUACCCAAAGAAUAAGCACCGGCUAACUUCGUGCCAGCAGCCGCGGUAA
This 506-nucleotide ribosomal RNA is filed under the name uncultured bacterium. RNAcentral's name for it is "partial 16S ribosomal RNA". It matches the Rfam family "Bacterial small subunit ribosomal RNA", at positions 29 to 523 of the family's 1533-position model. The record is from RNAcentral.